CGUCGAUUUCGUCAUUCUCUCCAAAUCUGGACAAAGCGCCGCCGUUCAGGCCUUCGUGAAAGCACAGAUCCGCGCGUCGCCGCCGCGCAAAGGCCGCGCACUGUCGCCGAUUCAUGCCGUGCGCCGCCGCCGCCGCGACCAGAGCUACGCCUACAGACACCUCGUCCUCUUCGGUUCGAUUUCUUCGAUUCAGGGCAAAGCUCGAUCAGUCAUGGCUCAGCCCCUAUUUUCCUAGGACUUUUCUCGAUUAUUUACAUGCCAGCUUCAACCUCUUAAUUACUCUUUUUCUUUAGAUUUCUUAUAACUGGAUUCGAAUUCUUGGUGCAAGGCUCAGUGGGCCAGAAUGGUUUCCCAUUUAGCUGGUGAAUAGUGUUGGCACAGGAGCUCAAGCUCGACAAGGACCAGCGGCGGAGAGAGAAGAAGCUGAGGCUCCAACUAAGCUCCAAAGUGGCGGCAAACCAGGGUCAACUGACUGCCACAGCAAACCAAGCCGGCUUCUCCGACGAGGGCAGUGGCAAGCUGUCGAAGAAAUAAAAAACAGAGGCUAAGACAUCUAUCUCUCUUUGAAUCAGUUAGGGAUAUAUGAAAAUCAAAGAUGUAUUGCAGCUACUAAAAUUUUGCUCUGCUUCUUGUGAUUUGCUUGAGACUGCUGCUGUUGGGACUAGUCGUAUAUAGUUAUCUUCUAUUUACUAGUGUCUCGAUAUAUG
RNAcentral lists this long non-coding RNA (707 nucleotides) under Salvia miltiorrhiza (redroot sage). RNAcentral's name for it is "long non-coding RNA (SMIL_LNC013295)". Lineage: Eukaryota; Viridiplantae; Streptophyta; Magnoliopsida; Lamiales; Lamiaceae. The record is from RNAcentral.